CAUAAGGGUGGGGCCUUCAUGAUGGCAUUAGCGCCUUUAUAAGAAGAGAUACCCAAGAACUCCCUCUUACUGUCUCUGCCAUAUGGCAGCUGGUGGUCACACUUAGGAUACAAUGAGAAUGCAACUAUCUGCAAGUCAGAAAAAAGGAACUACAGCUUGAUCUUGGACUUCCUAGCCUCCAGAAUUGAACAUGAAGCAAAGCAAAACUUUAUGUGCCUCCACCCCCUUUCAAUCAUUGACUGGAGAGAUAUCAAGGCUGAACUUUGAAAUACAUUCAAUCUAGAUUCAUGCAAGUUUUAUAAUUGUCAUGGCCUGAGAGAUCAUCCUUUCUCCUUUUAUAAAUGAGAAAACUGAAAACUAAAAUGUUGAGGAUCACACAACAUAAUAGUUCUAACGGAACUUGAACUGGAACCUAAUUUUCUUGCUUUUCCACUACUAUAGUUUUUUUUCCUCCCAAUUUUUGUAUUAUUUUAAAAGUGAGAAGAAACAUCACCAAAUUUCAAAUUCAAGAUCCAUGGAUGAGCUUAAAAGGUCCAUGAACUUCCAGAAAUUUUAAGUAAAAUGUUGUAUAUGUGCA
Canis lupus familiaris (dog) is the source of this 577-nucleotide long non-coding RNA. RefSeq lists it as uncharacterized. The transcript has 2 exons. Lineage: Eukaryota; Metazoa; Chordata; Mammalia; Carnivora; Canidae. The record is from RefSeq and is a predicted model, not a curated record.